GGGUGCGUAACGCGUAUGCAACCUACCUUCCACAGGGGAAUAGCCCAGAGAAAUUUGGAUUAAUGCCCCAUGGCACAGCGAGACGGCAUCGUCUUGCUGUUAAAGUAACAACGGUGGAAGAUGGGCAUGCGUCCCAUUAGCUAGUUGGUAAGGUAACGGCUUACCAAGGCUAUGAUGGGUAGGGGUCCUGAGAGGGAGAUCCCCCACACUGGUACUGAGACACGGACCAGACUCC
RNAcentral lists this ribosomal RNA (235 nucleotides) under uncultured bacterium. RNAcentral describes it as "partial 16S ribosomal RNA". It matches the Rfam family "Bacterial small subunit ribosomal RNA", at positions 104 to 339 of the family's 1533-position model. The record is from RNAcentral.